Molecule: unclassified non-coding RNA, 220 nt
Filed under: Hevea brasiliensis (rubber tree)
Lineage: Eukaryota; Viridiplantae; Streptophyta; Magnoliopsida; Malpighiales; Euphorbiaceae
Source: RNAcentral
GGGGGGGGGAGGGGGGAAGGGAGGGGGCGAUUCCAAAAUAUCACAGAAAAAUUCCUUUUAGAAUAGGGACUAGUCUAGAGUAUGACAUAUAAACUAAACAUUACCUUUUUAAAUAAGUAACAUAUGAUCAGUAAAAACAGUUUGUCCAUAAUUGAGUAGUCGUUGGAGAAUGAAAUAUUUACCUCAUUCCCUACACGGAACUCUUCUAGGCAGAUGGGAC